Molecule: ribosomal RNA, 253 nt
Filed under: uncultured bacterium
Lineage: Bacteria
Description: partial 16S ribosomal RNA
Rfam family: Bacterial small subunit ribosomal RNA
Source: RNAcentral
UACGUAGGGGGCAAGCGUUGUCCGGAUUUAUUGGGCGUAAAGAGCGUGUAGGCGGCUAGGUAGGUCCGUUGUGAAAACUCGAGGCUCAACCUCGAGCUGUCGAUGGAAACCAUCUGGCUAGAGUCCGGAAGAGGAGAGUGGAAUUCCUGGUGUAGCGGUGAAAUGCGCAGAUAUCAGGAGGAACACCGGUGGCGAAGGCGGGUCUCUGGGCCAUAACUGACGCUGAGGAGCGAAAGCGUGGGGAGCGAACAGG